GGGCCAGUAGCUCAGUUGGUAGAGCACCUGCCUUUUAAGCAGGGUGUCCUGGGUUCGAGUCCCAGCUGGCUCA
Molecule: transfer RNA, 73 nt
Filed under: Candidatus Beckwithbacteria bacterium
Lineage: Bacteria; Candidatus Beckwithiibacteriota
Description: tRNA-Lys
Rfam family: tRNA
About the family: Transfer RNA (tRNA) molecules are approximately 80 nucleotides in length. Their secondary structure includes four short double-helical elements and three loops (D, anti-codon, and T loops).
Source: RNAcentral